Molecule: RNA transcript, 3775 nt
Organism: Manis pentadactyla (Chinese pangolin)
Lineage: Eukaryota; Metazoa; Chordata; Mammalia; Pholidota; Manidae
Gene: IYD
Gene name: iodotyrosine deiodinase
Exons: 6
Source: RefSeq, a predicted model, not a curated record
UUAAAUACCAGUGUGGGAAGUACGUUCACUGUGCCAGAUCAGUCUUAUGACCAUGUUUUUCCUGACACCCGUCUUAGUAGCGGUUGCCUGCAUUUUGAUUGUGUGGAUCUUUAAAAAUGCUGAUGGAAGCAUCAAGAAAAGGAAGGGGGAGGCUACAGCCAGGGCUGAGGCGCAUCCCUGGGUGGAUGAAGACUUAAAAGACAGCACUGACCUCCACCAAGUGGAAGAAGAUGCUGAUGAAUGGCAAGAGUCAGAAGAAAAUGUUGAACAUAUCCCAUUUUCCCAUACCCGGUAUCCUGAGAUGGAAAUGGUGAAGAGAUCUCAGGAAUUUUAUGAACUUCUCAAUAAGAGGCGGUCUGUCAGAUUCAUAAGUAAUGAACAAGUCCCAAUGGAAGUCAUUGACAAUAUCAUCAAAACAGCAGGAACAGCCCCAAGUGGGGCCCACACAGAGCCCUGGACCUUUGUGGUUGUGAAGGACCCCAACAUGAAGCAUAAGAUUCGGGAGAUCAUUGAGGAGGAAGAGGAAAUAAACUACAUGAAAAGGAUGGGACGCCAAUGGGUUUCAGACCUGAAGAAAUUGAGAACCAACUGGAUUAAAGAGUACUUGGACACAGCUCCUGUUUUGAUUCUCAUUUUCAAACAAGUCCAUGGUUUUGCUGCCAACGGCAAAAGGAAGGUCCACUACUACAAUGAGAUCAGUGUUUCGCUGGCUUGCGGCAUGCUCCUCGCUGCCCUGCAGAAUGCAGGACUGGUGACGGUCACCACCACACCUCUCAACUGCGGCCCCCGGCUAAGGGUGCUCCUGGGUCGCCCUGCAAAUGAAAAGCUGCUGAUCCUGCUCCCUGUGGGGUACCCCAGCAAAGAGGCCACAGUGCCCGACUUAAAACGGAAACCUCUGGAUCAGAUCAUGGUGACUGUGUAGGCAGGAGAGCACAGGAAGAUGCUGGAAGAUGAUGCCCCCGAUGCCCUCCCCUGUUCUCUUGGGCCAACGGGCUGCCUCUUCUCUAGGUGCUAGGUUUCCCCAGCAGUCCACUCCACGAGGUAGCCACUUUGUGUGUCAAGACACCUUUGCACGUUCUCCAGCACUGCACAUCUGAGAAGCCCUGCUUCUGGUGGACAGUGAUUAGUGAAUGUAGAGUUAAGAGCUCAGCAGGAGGAACUUGGACUCCCACUUUGCCAAGAGUGAUGUUUUCAUUGGUUGCUGUGAGAGCCAGGAUGGCUCAGGGCAGUGGUCCUCCAACGUCAGUUUGCAUCACAGCCACGUGGAGGGCUUGUUCAGGCACAGACCCCGGGGUGCCACCUGCAAAGCAUCUGGUUUAGUAGGGCUGCAUUCUAGCAGGUUCCCGGAUGGUGUCGAUGCUGCUGCUCUGAGAACCACCAGGCUGUGUCAAUCAUCAGCAACGCUAACUCUUCAGUGAGUCAGCAUAAUAAAAGCUUAUUUCUGGGGCAAGCAAGGUCCGCACAGACCCUGGAAUCCCUUCAAAACAUUGUUCUCCAUGGGUGACUCAGCUGUCGUGUGUCUACACUAUCGAGAGCACGUGGCGUCCUUACUCAGAGGGAGAAAACAGUGGCGGUGCUCACCCCACCAACUACAUGCCUUAGCCCGGGAGUGACUCCUCAUCACAACCUGCUGGCCAAGACUGGUCACAUGGCCUCAGCGGAAGGGGGUGGGGUCACCCUCUGGGGGAGAUGCCAUCCUGUGCCUGGAAGGAGCGAAGACCAGCUGUGGGUAAACAUUAGAAGUCUCUCCCCAGGAGCAAGUGACUGUGAACUUGGGAAAUAAAAUUGGGUAUGACUGAAAGGGGGGGAGAGGAAGGAAGCAGGAAAACAUGGGUGAAACUAGGAUAGGAUGGUGAAAGGCACGAAGGUUCUCUUCUGAGAGGUUAACAGUAAGAUUUGUUCAUAUUUGUCUGAUACAGCUUUUAAAUCCAGUAUCAAUUUGGGCCAAGAAAAUCAAUACGAAUAUGAGAUGUUCCUGCUUCUGCCCACACAGUGGAAAUUACUGUUUCAGAAGUACUGAGGGGAAGCCCCAGUUUCCACCUUUUAUUUGCUCAGCCCUAUGAAAGGAAGAGGGACAUCUUUGGUCAGUGAAUCUGGGAGAACUGGGUUAUUGAACAUGGGCAAACCCCAAUAAAGAAUAUUGCAGUUUAUGCAAUGGACAAAUGAGGGUGAUUACUCACUGUAAAAAGAUGAUCCACUAAUGGAUUUCUCUAAAUAUUGGAGUUUUCAAAGAGUAGUCAAACUGGUAUAAUACAUAGUUCUUAAAUUUUGUACACAUCUUUUUGGAAUAUUUAUAACCUGAAGAAAAACAUCAUUAUCAGUGAAUAUGUUGCAUGCGAGGCAUGAGAAAUACAAUUUAUUUUGCCAGAUAAGGCAAAUAAAAAACUUCCUUUGCCAAAUAGGGAGCAAAGUACUCCCUUAUAAUUUGGUGAAGUGGGAACAACUGUGUCAGCCCACACGUAUCUGGGCACGGUGAGAAGUUAAAGCAAAUGCUAUUGAGGCUCUGUGGCUAGGGUGCCCUCCCUCCCACGCAGAAAAGGCUACUCUCAUUCAAAAGUGGAACUGCUUAGCUACCUGUGCAGGCGAUGAGGAAAGAGAAGGGGAGGGAGGUGGGGAUGGUAAGAGAGGCCUGGCACAGGAGUGCAGAGAAGGUGCAACAGGCUGAGAUCGGGUUGAGACCUGAUCAGUGUUGUCUGGGUGGCCUCAGCCAAGUUACAGGAUGUCAGGGGCUCGCUCCAGGGAGAACAGCACCCAAAGUGGAGAUCUUGCCAAAUUAAAUACAGUAGUUCUGAUGAAAUAUGAGCUGCUGUAAUCCCGUUUUAGGAAUUCCUAAAAAGUCACAAGGAAGGGGUGGUUUGUGUUAUUAUGACUUUAGAGUCAUGGCUCAGAGCCAAAUGUUCAGGAUUAAACGCAAGCACAUUGAAAGCCCUUAGGGCCACAUGGAAAUAUGCAAGCAAUGUCUGCAGAGUGUCCAAUAAACAUAAUAGCCAGUGAAAUAAUAAAGGAAGUUGGUGAACUUGGGAGGAGGAAGAGCUGCCGACUUCCUUCUAUGCUAAUCAUUAAAAAUAAAGAAUAAUAGCUUAGAGGUAACUGGAAUAUGGUUUCAAAAUCGACUUCUCUGAAGAGUGUCCCCUCUUGUCAUAGUGAUCGCAGAAAGGGUCAGGUGCUCAUUUCCCUGGGGGCUUUGCUCCUAAGCUUAUCUACAAUGUCAACCAUAUUAUUGUCAUGAGUUCUUGGAUAGGGAACUUUGACUUCCUUGGGGUAAAAAAAUCUAUUCCCUUGUUGAGUAAGUGACUUUCCAAGUCAGAGAAUGUUUAGAAUUAAAUACGGAGCAGCUGAAAUAAAUCAAACACCUAAUAUUGAUAUUUUCAUGUUACCUUGAGAAAUAACCUGUGUAUGUUUCUUACUUAAGUGACUUAAGUGUUUUUAAAAUUUACAAUUCCAAUUUAAAAUGUAAAAUUGAUUUCAGGCUUGUGAUUUGAAAGUUGAAAGCUGUAAGAAAAUGUGACUUAGCUCAUUUUAACACUUAGAAUAGAUUCACUAUAAGUUUGAUUGAUUAAAUUUAGAAAAGAUGUUUAAGUAUAUGAAAACACUUUGGCUUAAUCGGGUGUAAGCUUGCCAGGUCAAUUUUUGAAGUGCUAAAACAGAAAAUUAAUGAUGAUUAAGUCUAUACAAGGAGUUUAAAAUGUUUAAGAAAUUUAAAUAAAUAGUGCUUCUAAAUAAAACUGAUGGUUUAAAGGAAUUUGAUUUUUUUCAGCUUGAGUUACUUGAACAU